This 766-nucleotide ribosomal RNA is filed under the name uncultured bacterium. RNAcentral's name for it is "bacterial SSU rRNA". It matches the Rfam family "Bacterial small subunit ribosomal RNA", at positions 97 to 879 of the family's 1533-position model. The record is from RNAcentral.
GGCGGACGGGUGAGUAACGCGUGAGGAACCUGCCUUGAAGAGGGGGACAACAGUUGGAAACGACUGCUAAUACCGCAUGAAGCAUAGGGGUCGCAUGAUUCUUAUGCCAAAGAUUUAUCGCUUCAAGAUGGCCUCGCGUCUGAUUAGCUAGUUGGCGGGGUAACGGCCCACCAAGGCGACGAUCAGUAGCCGGACUGAGAGGUUGAACGGCCACAUUGGGACUGAGAUACGGCCCAGACUCCUACGGGAGGCAGCAGUGGGGAAUAUUGGGCAAUGGGCGCAAGCCUGACCCAGCAACGCCGCGUGAAGGAAGAAGGCUUUCGGGUUGUAAACUUCUUUUAAGAGGGAAGAGCAGAAGACGGUACCUCUAGAAUAAGCCACGGCUAACUACGUGCCAGCAGCCGCGGUAAUACGUAGGUGGCAAGCGUUGUCCGGAUUUACUGGGUGUAAAGGGCGUGCAGCCGGGUCUGCAAGUCAGAUGUGAAAUCCAUGGGCUCAACCCAUGAACUGCAUUUGAAACUGUAGAUCUUGAGUGUCGGAGGGGCAAUCGGAAUUCCUAGUGUAGCGGUGAAAUGCGUAGAUAUUAGGAGGAACACCAGUGGCGAAGGCGGAUUGCUGGACGAUAACUGACGGUGAGGCGCGAAAGUGUGGGGAGCAAACAGGAUUAGAUACCCUGGUAGUCCACACUGUAAACGAUGAAUACUAGGUGUGCGGGGACUGACCCCCUGCGUGCCGCAGUAAACACAAUAAGUAUUCCACCUGGGGA